RNAcentral lists this ribosomal RNA (274 nucleotides) under uncultured bacterium. Its description in RNAcentral is "partial 16S ribosomal RNA". It matches the Rfam family "Bacterial small subunit ribosomal RNA", at positions 523 to 796 of the family's 1533-position model. The record is from RNAcentral.
AUACGGAGGGUCCGAGCGUUAAUCGGAAUUACUGGGCGUAAAGCGCGCGUCGGCGGAUAUUUAAGUCAGAUGUGAAAUCCCUGGGCUCAACCUAGGAACUGCAUUUGAAACUGGAUAUCUAGAGUAUGGUAGAGGUGAGUGGAAUUUCAGGUGUAGCGGUGAAAUGCGUAGAGAUCUGAAGGAACAUCAGUGGCGAAGGCGACUCACUGGGCCAUUACUGACGCUGAGGUGCGAAAGCGUGGGUAGCAAACAGGAUUAGGUACCCCAGUAGUCC